RNAcentral lists this long non-coding RNA (43169 nucleotides) under Lactuca sativa (garden lettuce). RNAcentral describes it as "long non-coding RNA (LSAT_LNC009766)". Lineage: Eukaryota; Viridiplantae; Streptophyta; Magnoliopsida; Asterales; Asteraceae. The record is from RNAcentral.
AGUUGCCUCCUUACAGAUUAUGUCAAUAUGGUCCUUCCAGAAUUAUCACUAUACUUCCAAUUGUCCUUGAGUAACCAAUCUUUGGUAAACCUUAGAUUGUCCUCGACAAUUGUUUAAUCCUUUUAGUCAUAUCCAGUUCUAAACCUUUUCCCUUCUUAAUGCCCCAGGCAUUUGGAAAAUUUUAGAACGGAUGAAUAUAGCACAUGUAAUCGAUCCUAUAUCCGAAGCAUAUGGGACACGAUUCAUGAUGUCUUACAUAAAGACUAAACCAGUCUUUUGCUAUAAUAUUUCCAUUUCAAUUUGCCAAGUUCUCAUAAUUCAGAUUAUGAAAAGGGAUGCCGUAAUCAUAAUCGAAUUUUAGAACGCAAAUAAUGGACCCAUAUACAGAAUUUCCUUAUGUUGAGCCAUUCCAACAUGAAAUUCAUAUAUAUCCUUGACUAAAUGAUUAAAACCUCACGAUCUAAGCUUAUAGAUUUGAGAUGAAGCAUAAUUUCCUCUCCCUUAAUUAUAGCAAAACAACUUUUUCCCAAUUGAAACUUUUGUUUUCUAUAAUUAACAUUGCUAACUUGCAAUACUUAUCAUAAUUAUCAUGCUCCCACUAACAUGAUGAUUAUUAGCAUAACACUUAUGCUCCCACUAGCUUUGACAUGUACUCAGAAAUCAGCUGGACAGUCUGAAAUUUAGAUUCAUACACCCUUUCCGUAGAUAGCUCACCUGUGUGUCUAAGCAAUUUCAAGAACCAUGAAAAGGGAUACCGUAAUCAUGGUCUCAAUUGCUUAGGCAUUUGCCAUUUCUCACAAGUCCAUGUUAGUGUGCCGGUUAACCACACGCGCUCCACUAACGACUUUUGAAAAUGCAAAUAACACAAUUGAUAUCUUCGUAAAAUCUACUUAGUGAAAGCGUUUCCUCACCAUCAUUUUCAUGAAUCGGAGAGAAACCUUAUGACACUUAGAUUUAUAUGGUGUAUGAGUUCCUACCCAUAUGAAUUUGUCAAACCAUAAUCACAAGACAAAGAUAAUGACAAAUCCAAAACCAUAUGGAUUGAACUCAAUCUUAACUUCUUGCCACCUGGCAGCUCAAGGGCCUGCCAUUGCUUCCAAGUUGUUAUGCAACAAACUGAGAACUCUAAGAACUCAUAUGCAAAGCCAACUUUAACUGGAAUGGGCACAGAUAUGUCAACACGAUAGGUUAUAAACCUCAAGUCGUGUGCUAGUGAAGAACUUUAGGUUUUAUUCUUGAUUAUUUCUUGAGACUUUCAAGACCUUUAAGACUCCCACUGUCCUCUUGACAUAUAAGACUCCCUUGUCAAACAUCCAAGAGAUAGUGCGGAUUCUAAUCAAGAAAAACACUUUACCCAAUUGGCCUAAGUUGGUCUUUGUUUUAUCCAAAACAUCACAACUUACCAAUUUCAAAUGUACAAGAGUAGAAAACUUUUACUCUUACAUUUGACAAGUGUUUUAAACCUUCUUUAAGACAUGUCACUCAAAUGACAAUCUUGGAGUAUGACUCUAAGACUUGUAUUGGAACGAAGUAUGACUCAUCUUCUUGAUUUAACCAUUUCAACAAUUCAAGUUCCUCUUCUUAGUCAUAAGAAUGCACUAAGAUUUCCUUAGAGAACUAAUUUUGAUAUGGUUUCUUAAUCAUUAAGAUGAUCACAAAACUGAUACUAAAGUACUCUCCCAUCUUUUCAGAUUUGAGAAACUUUUAUCCUUCUGCCUUAUUUGAUUCUUCUUAUCGAUCUUUAGUGGUGGACUUAAUCAGUGCACAAGAAUGUGUACUCGAUCCCUAAGUCCUUUACUUGACUCACACAUCCAUGUGAACAAGUAAUUAGUCUUAAUUUUCCAAAACUUGAAAGUUCUCAUUCAUCAUGCUAUACAACUUGCAUGAUUCCAAGUUCCGGUCCAAUUGAAACUUGGGUGAUGAGAAUCUUUCCUUAUUUGGUAAAUUUAGACAUUACCACAAAUGAAAGAAUCAAUUUCAUAUUUCCACUCUUGCUCUUAAUGGAAUCAUAUAAGCAACAAUUUUUCCUCAAAUGCCAUUGUAAGGAUAUUUUAAAAUAAAUAAAAUAUAAAAAAUUUUCUUUUAUUUUAAAACUUUGCGGAAAAACUUAUCCUUACAAUCCAUAUGAAAACUUGUUGUUAUCUAUUCCUAAGCAAUAUCUCAUAACUCCUAAGAAGUAGCUCAAGAAUCCGAUCUUCAAACUAUGCGAUAGAAAUCCAUCUACGCCAUCAGAUUCAGCAUAUUCUUUCUUUAAGUUUCUUCACUUUUCUUUGAUUCUUAAAACAUCACCAUGUGACCCAGUCACAUCAUGUAUCAAGAAUCUCAGAAUAGAAACUUAACAGAGUUAGAUAGUGGACUUUACCUGAAGUAGAGUCAAACUUAUUGACUUUAACAUCCUUAGGUAAAUUUGGCAGCUUCGCAACCAAUGCCCCUUCCUUUGGCAAUAUAAACAUAUGGACCCUUUGAUAAUGGUACACGGGACUAUCACAGACUUAGCUUUUCUCUUUACCAUUUGGUCAACCGAGUUGACUAUGGCCGAUCCCUUUCCAUUGGGAAGAGAAUGCUUUACUGGAUAUCCAAUGUCAUCAUUGUCAAUGUCCAUAAAGUUUUAGGAAGUUGAUCUUAGCAAAUAGAUAAGAUCAUUAAGGGUCUUGUCAUAGUCUGUUUCAUAGGUGUCCCAAAGGAACUCACUAUGUGACUUAGAAAGUGGUUGAACCACCAACUUUCUCAAGACUUUGACACCCAACUCUCCCGGCUUGUCAAUAUGUGACUACAUCUCCAAGAUGUGACCACACCUAGACCUUGCCUUGCCAAUAGGGCCUGAGUGACCUUAAACUUUUCAAGAACUUGUGGGUUAGGGAGAAUAAUUUGAAGAGGUGAAGAAGUAUGAUAUCCAUGGGACAUCAUCUUCAUUAGGAAACCUUGUUUCAAGAGAUUUGGGAAGAUCAUAGGUGUCUAAACCAGACAUCUUUUGGGAGAUAUUCAAGAUAGUUGAUUUAAAGUCCUUAAUAUGACACCCAAUAUGAAAUAUUAAGGCUAGGACCCAACAAACUAUUUUAUAACUUAGAAGAGGUAUGCCGUAAUCCAAGCUAUAAAAUAUUUGAAGGUAGGUGAAUGACGAUUCACCAAUUUCCACCAAGAUAAACGAAAUGUAUUAUUAGGUUUUAAUUGGUUUUGAAACUCCUAGAUCUUUGAGAUUCAUUGAACUUUUCAAAGGCAUGUUUCAAUCUCGAGUGUGCCCUUCAGGUUUUGUGACUGGGAUGCCGAGGAUCACAAAACAAGGUGUGAAGUAACCAUGCAAAUCACUUGGUACCCUUAAUAAAUUACCCCUCAAUCGAUGUGCCGGUUAACCACACACGCUCCAUCGAUACUAUGAUAAAUAUUAAGUCACCCUUUACCUACCUUGUUAAGUCCAAGUUAGUGUGCCGGUUAACCACACACGCUCCACUAACGACUUAGACAAAGUGUAAAGUGUAAUUUCAUGGAUUAGCACCUUAUUCACAUUUUUCCUAAGUAACUAAGAUUGGGUAUUAUUAAGAGUUUAGUUACUUAGUAUUAUCAUUAAUACUUUUAAUGAAGGGAGAAUUCUAGUCCUGUCAAACCCGUUCGGCUAACGACCCUCCACCAGUCAAGCAAGCGGUGGGUGAGAGUGGACACCCAUUAAGUUGCCAUUUUAUAGGCAACAACCUUAUACCCACCUUAUAGACCGGCUUCGUGAAUGAGGCGUACUAGCGGUAAGACUGACUUUACUCUUAUACAUAUAUAUAUUAUUAACUUAUAAUAUUAUAAAGUAUAAGGGUUGAAUUUUAACUUUUAAAAUUCUAAGGGCUAACUUGGAAUUAAAGUAUUCAUACUUGAAAACUUUUCAAAUUCCAAAACUUGAGGGCAAGUUUUGAAACUAUUCAAAACUAAUUAAUUCCAUAACUUAUGUGUUUAAAGUAGUUUUAAUCCAAAAACUCUUCAAGUUCCAUAACUUGAGGACAAGUUAUGGAAGACUUUAAACUAAUAAAAGAACUAACUUUUUCUUUAUUUUAUAACUUAUGGAUUUAAUUAUGGUUACAUAUUUUUCUUUAAUGAAGUGACUCUUGAACUUCCAUAACUUGAGGACAAGUUAUGGAGUCAAAAAAAAUUAUUCAAUGACACAAGACUCUUCAUUUUGUAACCAUUGCCAACUUUUAUGAGUUUUAUGAGUCUUUAAUGUGACUCUUCAUGUAACUUGAGGACAAGUUACACAAACACAUUUUAUACUCAACUCUUAGAUUAAAAUGGAUUGAAAACAACUAUUUCACUCAACAUUUCUAUUAAUCUAAGCAACUCAUAAGAACAAGAUAAUUCAAAUCAAACUUUUUCAUGUAAUUAGUCUAAACCUUAAACUAAUACAAAACAUGAAUCUAUUGACAAUUAUCUUUGAAAAUGGAUUAGCAUGAACAUUACCACAUCAAAAACAAGUUUAUAAGUUCAAAAACAACUUAGGGUAAUGUUCCUAGUCCAUUUCUAGCCAAAAAAACUCGAAAAUAUGCUGUCUGGGGGUCCAACUCGUCGAGUGCAUGAACCAACUCGGCGAGUUGGAUCGAAUUGAUCACAUUUUAGGCAUGGACUCGCCGAGUCCUCUGAUGGACUCGCCGAGUCUGAUGAUCAGACAGCACCAAAUUCGUUUUUUCAGCUUCUAUUGCAGGUAUAACAAGAAAACAAGCCUAGGCUCUGAUACCACUGUUGGGUUUUGAGCAUUCUAACACUCCUAAGUGUACAUGCAACCCUAAAUACCUUGGAUCUAUGUUUUCUCUAUUAUACAUGCAAAUAAGAACUUCCAAGGUAUUAUCCUAAUCUAGCAUACAAAACAAUGAGUGUAACAAGAUAGAAUACAUACCUCUUUGAUGUAGAAAGUCUUCAUGAAGCUUGAGUGCCUAGCCCCAAUAGUGUGGAAGCCUCAAAUGGAAUCACAAUCACCAAAACACUUAGAAUAACUUGAGAGAAUUCUACAACUCAUGAAAUCGGCUAGCCCUUUCACUUCACACACUAGUGGCCGAUUUUGGUCAAGAAUAAGAUGCUUAUAUAGUUAGGGUUACACCAUGUAAACCCUAAUUGACAUGGCCUUUCAUUUCCAUGAUCCAUGGGUACAAAUACACCAUGGAGCAUCCAUGGACCAUCCUAUGGGUUUUAGCCCAACUUGAUUAUCCAUGGAGCAUUAGCCCACUAUACAAGUAUGGAUGAUUUACACAAUCAACCCAUAUAUUUAAUUAGUCUUCUUUUGAUCACUUAAUUAAUCCUAGAUUAAUUCUUGAUCAAUACUAAUUAAAUAAUCUUAUUAUUCUUAUUAUUAAUAUACUAGAACUUAUAAUAUAUUAAUAACCAUAAGUGUCUUAUUUCUCUCAUUAUAGUCUAUCCAAGUGCAUGAUGGUAUGCAACCCAAAUGGACCAUGCCGGGUCGGGUCAAGUCUUACCAAUUAUAGUUAUGGACUUAGACAUUAAUCCAACAGUAUCUACAUCAAAUGUAUAUGGGUUAUCUUGCAUAUAUGUCUCACACCUAGGUUGGGAUGGAGGUUUCGGUUUCGGUCGUACCUGUUGUGAGAGAGUUUGUUGAUGUGUUCUUAGAGGAGUUACCCGGUGUGCCUCAUAAGACCCAAGUUGAGUUCAGGAUCGAUUUGGUCCAGGUGCGGCUAUGAUUGCUAAGGCGUCAUACUGAUUGGUACCACCAGAGAUGUCAAAGUUGUUCUCAUAGCUUUAGGAGUUGUUGGGCAAUCAUUUUAUUAGACCGAGUAGUUUGCCGUGGGGAGCACCGAUUUUGUUUGUCAAGAAGAAUGACGGUUUACAUUGGAUGUGUAUCGAUUACUGGGAGUUGAAUAAGUUGACGGUGCAGAACUGUUACCCACUUCUACAGAUUGAUGACCUCUUCCAUCAGUUUCAGGGUGCAUCUUGGUUCAUCAACAUCGAUUUGAGACCAGGGUAUCAUUAGAUGAGGGUGAGAGAUGAGGAUGUGGAGAAGACCGCAUUUCAGACUCGCUAUGGUCAUUAUGAGUUCGUGGUGAUGUCGUUUGGGCUCACCAAUGCUCCAGCAGCAUUCAUGGAUUUAACGAAUCAAGUGCUUAGGCUGAGGCUCAAUCGUCCAGUCAUUAUUCAUAUCAAUGAUAUCCUGGUCUAUUCCAAGACCCAAGAGAAGUAUGAGGAGCACCUUCGGGAGCUUUUGGGAGUAUUGAAGCGAGAAUGGCUUUAUGCCAAGUUCUCGAAAUGUGAUUUUUGGUUUCGGGAGGUCUAGUUCUUGGGGCAUCUCAUUAACCAUAAAGGAAUCUUGGUUGAGCUGGCCAAGAUUGAGUUUGUUAUGCAAUGUGAGGUUCCAAACUCCCCAUCAGAGAUCAUGAGUUUCUUGGGAUUCACAAGGUAUUAUCAGAAUCAUUCAAGAUUUAUUCUAUAUUGUUGUACCCUCACUCUUCUAAUGAGGAACGGCAUAGAUUUCUUCUGGGGGCCUGAGCAGUAGGCUUCAUUCCAAACUUUGAGGUAGAAGUUAUAUGAGGCUCUAGUGUUGAUCCUCCCUGAGGGUGUUAAGGAUUUCGUAGUAUUUUGUGAUGCAUCCAUCACCAGCCUGGGGGCAAUUCUUAUACAAUGAGGGAGGGUAAUUGCUUAUGCUUCUCGACAAUUGAAGUCGCAUGUGGUUUGUUAUCCAAAUCAUGAUUUGGAGUUGGGAUCAGUGGUGUUCGCUCUCAAGAUUUGGCGGCAUUGUCUAUAUGGGGUCCAUUGUACCAUCUACACAGAUCAUAAGAGUUUGAGAUAUCUCAUGGAUCAUCCGAAUAUUAAUAUGAGGCAGCGCAGGUGGCCUUGACAUGGUCAACGAUUAUGACUGUGAGAUUUUGUACCACCCGGGGAAAGUGAAUGUGGUUGCUGAUGAUUUUCAAGACGACUACUUUAGUUGUUGGGAGACUUUAUAUGUGGAUUUCAAUUGAUUCACCAUUAUUAGGAAUGAUUAGAGAGCCUCGGGUUGGGAUUCAAUAAAGAAAACUGGAAGGAAGAGCGCAUCAGAGGUGAGAUUGACAAGUUUUCUACCAACAACCGAGGAUUAUUGACCCGGUAUGGUCAAUUAUGGGUUCUUGAUUUUGGUGGGUUUAGACAGGCUAUGCUGGAGGAGGCAAACAAGUCCAGAUUUUCAAUACAUGUUGGAGCCACCAAGAUGUAUUGGUAUUUGCAACUCAGUUAUUGUUGGCCAUGCAUGAAACGAGAGACAACCUGAUAUGUCGAUCGAUGUUUGACCUGUUGGAUGGUCAAAGCCGAGCACCAGAGGCCACAUGGCAGCUUCAGCCUUUGGAGCUUCCCAUGUGGAAAUGGGAACAUGUCACCAUGGAUUUCAACACCAAGUUUCCAAGGAUAGCUAAGGGGUUUGAUGCAAUCUGGGUGAUAGUGGACUGGUUGACCAAGAGUGCCCACUUCUUAGCUAUUUGUGAGAACUCGUCAGCAGAGAAAUUUGUCGAUGUUUAUGUGCACAAGAAUGUCGCUCGACACGGUUUCCUAUUUUCUAUUGUAUCGGACCAGGAUGCUCGGUUUACUUCGCGGUUUUGGCAAAACUUCCACGAGGAACUGGGUAUGAGGUUGCACUUUAACACUGGUUAUCAUCCGCAAACGGAUGGUCAGAGCAAGCAGAGCAUUCAGACACUCGAGGAUAUGUUACGAGCCUAUUUGAUUAUUUCGGUGGGAAUUGGGAGUCCUACCUUCCCCUAGCUAAAUUUUCUUACAAUAGCUAUCACUCCAGUACCGAUGCACUGCCAUUCGAGCUUCUCUUUAGGAGGAAGUGUCGUACCCCAGUAUGUUGGGGAGAUGUUGGUCAUAGAGUUAUAGGGAGGAAUGAGGUAGUCCUUCAGAAGACAAAGAUUAUUCAGCAGAUUAGGCAUAUGCUACAUACAACUAUGACUUUGAAGAAGAUUUAUGCCGACAAGCGUCGAUCUGAGUUGGAGUUCCAAGUCAGCGAUAUAGUUUUGUUGAAGGUAUCACCCUGGAAGGGUGUAAUACACUUCAGGAAGAGGGGAAAGUUUUGGCCCCGGUAUAUUGGGUCAUUUCAAGUGAUUUUCAAGGUUGGCAAGGUAGCUUACAGACUGGAUUUACCUGAGGAGAUCAAUCAGAUCCACAAUACCUUCUAUGCCUUGCAUCUUUGGAAAUGUGUGGCUGAUGAUUCAACGUUUGUUGCUUUGGAGGAUGUUCAGGUUGAUGAUUGCCUGAAUUAUAUUGAGAUACCAGUGGCAAUUUUGGAUAGGAAGACGAAGGCCUUGCGCAGCAAGGUGGUGUAUUUGGUUAAGGUUCAGUAAAAGGAUCGAAGGGGUUCCAAAUAGACAUGGGAACCUGAGUCAGGGAUGCGAGAGCAUUACUCUGAGUUGUUCUCAGUAGCGGACUUCAGGGAGGAAGUUUAGUUCAAGUGGGGGAGAACUGUAACAUCUUGAUGUUGAUGUAUUUCCAUUUUUAACCCUAAGUAUGAUAGUUAAAUUAAUUUUAGUCCUUGUGUCAAAGAAUUGUUGCAAAAUGACCCUAUAGUGGCAUUCUUGUAAUAUUUAGGCGAAGCAUACAUACGAUGGGCGUACACUUCAUACGUACAUGUCAAAUCCUCAAACCCUUAUAUUUAGGGUUUGGACCCUAUUUAAGCAUUCUUAUGUCCCAACUUCUCCUCCUUUCAUCAACCUCCAACACCAACUUCAACCUUUGCAAACCCUAAUUUGUAUUUGAGCUAUAUUGAGCCAUUUGUGGGUGUUUAUUGAGCUGUUUAUAGGUGUUGUGGCGCUCUUAUAGGAAGAAGAAGGAGAAGAGAACAACCUAAAAGCUUGGAACAACCUUAGAUCAGGAAGUGUUGCACACUCCUACAUCUCUAGAAGGUAUAAAGUUCAUACCUUGAUGAGUAUUUGGUUAGAUCUUACUUGUAUCAUGUUAUUAUGUGCUUUUGUCCCCAAUCAAAGAUGUUGUUGAGUAUGGCAUGCUCUAGACCCAAAUGGAUUGUCCUUCCAGACGUUUUGGAGUGUCUAAGGUCAUAAAAAUGCAAUCUUGAUUGUUAGUUUUCUUCCAUGCAUGGGUUAUAUUGUCUUAAUGGGUUAAGAAGUUAGGGUUUUUGCUUUUGGGAACUUAUUAGCCAUGCAAAACCAUAAAGUUGGCAACUUUAUAGUUUAGGACGUUAGUUGUGGACUAGAUCUGGGAUUAGGACCAACGAGCUUAAGGAUUAAGAACUUAAUAAGAAGGAAAAUUGGUUAGGUGCGUAGGUCGUGAGUACAAGAGGGUACUCUUGUACAUGCUGAGAAUGCCCAAUGUACUCAACUGUUUUGACCAAGUUUGACUUUUUGACUUUGACCAAGUUUGACCAAAGGGUAUUUUGGGUAUUUUGAGUUAUAUUUGAGAUUGGUCACUAUUUGAUGAAUAGGUGACGGCUAGAGCAGAUAUUUGGAGCAGAGAUUUAUUCAACUAUUUGAUUGGAUUGAGAGGUGAGUUUUCCUCACUGUACUUGUAGAUCGAAGGCACCAAUACCGGCCCACUGAGUUAUGAAUCCUGUUUUAGGAGAUGUUUCUGUGUUGUAUUGAUCGAUUAGAAUUGAGUCCUGGUAUGUAGGAUGUUGUCAUUCGGUAGCAAUUUGUAAAUCUGUCUGUAAAUAUGUUGAUUGAUAUAUGAUUGACUGUUUUAUGAAUAUGUUUGUUAUUUGUUAUAUGUCAACAUAGUAUGGUUGGGUUGAGACUAUAUUGCUUUGUGCCGUCAGUUAACAAACCCGGGACAAUCCAAUCGGAAUGUUGUGGGCCAGGGUAAGCCAACCGAAAGGUUGUGGACCCAACAUGUGUUACGUAUAUUUGUUUUGUUGUGCUAUAUGGUACUUUGUGGCAACUCACUAAGCUUUGGCUUUCAAUUUUAAUUGUUGUUUCAGGUACUUUAGAUGAUUGUGAUAAGGCGAAGGCAUGAUCGUACACAUCUUUAGAAGAUAUCUUUUGGGAGAGUUUAGGAUGUUCUGAUCUUGGGGAAUAUUUGUAUUUGACACUUGACUUGAUAUGGAUUUGGGUAUGAAAAUAAUGGUUUCUUUUAAUUUAAAAAUGAAAAUUUUUAUUGAAUUUUUGGGAUGUUACAAAAAUGAGCUCAAAAUGAUUGAAAUGAGGCUAUGGUUUGAUCCUUUACACUUGGAGGUGAUGGAGACUGAGGGUGAAUGAAACGCUAGCCAUCAUAUUCCUUACAUAGGGCCCAAGGCUCGAGAUAUAGGAUUUUGAGCCCCAACUGCCACCAUGUCAUGGGAAGGAACUUACCACGCCAUGGUGAUUAAAUGACCACCACAUCGUGGUCUGGGAAUUGCCACGCCGUGGGAAUGAAAAAUCCUAAAGUCACAAUGUUUUAAAGUACGAAACUCAUACCUGAAAAAUCGUGUGUUACAACUCUCAUCCACUUGAAUCAAAUUUUGUCCUUGAACUCUACUUCCACAAAUAACUCGAGAUAAUGAUCUCUCAUAUCCUCUUUGGGUUCCCAAGUCUAUUCAAAACCCUUCUAAUGCUGCCAUCGCACCUUAACCAAAGCCACCACCUUCUUGCGCAAGGCCUUCCUCUUUCUCUUAAGAAUAACUAUCAUUCGCUCCACAUGAUUCAAACGCUCAUCAAUCUAAAUGUCAUCCAAUGGUAAUACUAUGGAAUCAUCUGCUAAGCACUUCCACAUUUGGGAAACAUCAAAGGUAUUGUAGAUCUGACUAAGCUCCACAAGUAGAUCUAACAGAUAAGCAACCUUUCCUACCCGGACAAUAAACUCUAAAUGGACCGAUGUAUUUGGGGAACAACUUUCCCUACUUCAAGAAUCGGAUGACACCUUUCCAAGGUGAUACCUUUACAAGAACAAAAUCCAUAACCAAGAAAUCAAGAUCGAAACAAUGCUGAUCAUCAUAACUCUUCUGAUGACACUAAAAGGUUUGCAAUUUAUGUCACAGUGUGGUGAAGAGGUCACCAUGAUGUGGCUAUUAGAUUAAGGUGUCUAUGCUCAUAACUAAAUUGAUAUAUUCUUAUAAUGAGAAGAAAAGUCCUUUUGGGUUGCUCUCAUGACCAAAAAUAGUUAGAAAUGAUAUUAGGAGAGAGGAGUAUAAUUUAUUAGAUUAUUAUAUGAUUAAUAAACUAAUUGAAAAUUAUGGGAAAAUGAUUUGUUAGUAUAUUAUGUGAUUAAUAUAAUAACUGGAAAUAGAUAGUUGAUUUGUUGAUUUAUUAUGUGGUUAAUAAAUUAAUACGAGAUUAGUUGUAAAUAAUUUAUUUGUUAAUUUAUAUGAUUAAUAAAUUAACAUGAAAUCAAUUAGAACUGAUUAAUUAUUAAUCAGAAUUAAUCUGGAAUUAAUACGGGAUUAAUUGAAAUUAAUUGAAGGUGGAAAGGGUGAAUUAUAAUUGUUCAAUAGUUGAACAAAAGAAGAAAUUCUAGAAUCCUCCAUGGUAUCGAUGGCUAAGGAGUGUUGCCUAAGGUUUCUGGAAACCUGUUGGUUGCAUAAAAGUAAAUAAUUUGAAUUAGGAUUUAAUAUAUUAUUUAAUUAAGUCAAAUCUUAUUUUGUCUGCAAGUUACCUAAAGUAUAAAUAUGACCCCUUGGCUUGAAACUUUUGCUCACCACAUUAACUAUAAGCAUAGGAAUGAAAUUUCCCUCAUAUCUCCUCUCUCCUCCUCAUUCUAGGGUUUCUGUUUUUGGGUGUGAUAGAUUAGAGGCAUCAUCAUUUUGGUGCUAGCUUUCUAAGACCAACAAAUAGAAGAGAUUGAAGUGGUUUGUUUGAUACAACAAAUCAAAGGUAUGUAACCCUAAUCCUAUGUAAAUUUCGAAUAUAAUAGGUUUCCCUUAGGGUUUUUGAUGUUCAUUUUUAUUGCUAUCAAUUAGAGAAAACAUAGAUCCUUUAUAAGUCGGAUGUGAACUUAAGGGAUAAGAUUUUCACUUCAUAUGUAUUCGAUAGCCUAUAAAACCCUUUAGUGGUAUCGUACCCGUUGUUUUCUAUUGAUUGUGCAUGAUAUGAGUGGAUUAAAAAAUUAGGGUUUAUUGAAAAUAAACCCUAUCCGUUUGAAAAUUUCAACUUUGGUAGGGUUUCUUGAAACCCUAGCCACCACUCCUUAUUUUCGAAAUUACCUUAGGGUUUAGGUUUUCUGGAUUACUUAAUUAUUACUUUAAAUGCCUUAAAAUUAGAAUAAUAAAAAGUCAGUAACCCUGUUCCCUAAUUUUUGAAAAUUAGAAGGUUAUAGGAUUUAAUUUGAAUUAAGUAAUAGUUUAAUUGAAAAUAAUCAUUUAAUCCCUAAAUGAUCUAAAUUAAUUUAACUAUAAGAUAAAUAUUAAAUCAUAAUUGGUUUAAAUUUAAUUAAUUAGAAGUUUAAUAACUAAUUUUAAACCUUUUAUUUUGAAAAUUUUUAAAAUACACCAUAUAUAUAUAUAUAUAUAUAUAUAUAUAUAAUGUUAAUUACUUUAUGUAUAAAUUGAUUAUAAAUCGAUCGAGGGUGUUUUGAGCGGGUUUGCAUGGUUAUUCACAUCUUAAUUGUGAUCCUCGACAUCCUAGUCUCAAUUGGUUAGAUCAUAAUACGCGAUUAAACAUGCCUUUGAUGUUUUAAUGAAAAUCUCAAAAACUCUAGGAGUUUCAUAUGAUUGAAAUUGGUAAAAUGUUUCUACAUACCUAAAAUAGUUUCAUGAUAUGACUAUGACAUCCCUCUUCAUAUUACGAAAUGAGAAUACGGAUCCUAGCCUUAAUUUAAUUUUUGGGUUAAUAAUUGAGGAUUAAAAUCAACUAACUUGAAUUCUCACUUCUCCCAACUUUAAAUGUCUUAUUAAGAGAUAAAUGGUCUUCCUCGUUCUUGUGGAAAUGGUUUUCCUCAAUCUUCUGGAGAUGAUCUUCCACAUUCGAUUCAAUGUGGAAUUGUUUUCCCUUCCUUAGGAAAUGGUGGAAUAGAACAUUGUCCUCCUUCAACGCUUCCACCUACUCCUCAUGAAACUCUCCUAACGUCACGUUUUCCUUGAGUUGAGAGAUAUGAAACAACUCAAGCCCUAUUGGCAUAUAAACACGAAGAUGAAAUUCUUUGGGUGCGCAUGUUCUGAAAAUGAAACUAUAUUCCCGAUGGAUCAAGCCAUUGAUUUGGUUCUUAUCUCACUUCCUAAGUCACAUGGUAAGUUCGUUGAGAAGAUUCAUAUAAGGAAUCUCGAUGUGACCCUAAUUGAUUUAACCCAAAUGUUGGCAGUUGUUGAAGCAAAAAAUGCUUAAGGACACAACUAAAGCAGAAAUUUUUAUAGGGUCUAAUCUAAAGGUAUCCAGGGACAUUGACAAUGGUAAUAUUUGUGAUCAAGCAAAGGUUUCUCUUCCCAAUCAAAAGUGGUCGGCCAAAAUCAAAUCGUUUGAUCGUAUGGUAAAGAGAAAGGAUCGUUUUGAGAUCAUUCCAUAUGUUGACCCCAAUGAGUCCAUUUGUUUCUACUACCAAUUUAAGGGACAUUAGAAGCAAAGCUGCCCAAAAUACUUGAAGGGUCUUGAAGAUGGUUAAGUCAAUUCACGUAAUGCUACUUUAGGCACAUGAAUUAUCUAACUUUGCGGGUUCCUAUUCUUAGGAUCUUAAUAUAUGAUGUGAUUAUCACAUUUUGAUGGUAUUGCAGGAUCUAAAAGAAAAAAGGAAGCAUAAGAAAAAGUGAGCUAAAUCUAAUUCAGGGAAAUGAACUUUCAUCGCGUGGUUCGAUGGUCAGAAUUCGGAGCUACUAUUAAGGAGUUAGGAUAGUUUUAAUAGAUUUUUAUUACUCGUAGAUGUCUAGAAAUAUAGUUUUUCAUCUUAUGCAUUAUAAGGACAAGUUCCAAUUUUACAUUUAGCAAUAAAAUGAAGUUUUGGUUUAUGAAGUUGCCUUAUUUGUAUUUCAUCAAAAUGUCAUUUAUGAAAGUGUUGAUUAUGUUUCUAAUAAUGCAAAUAUUAAUGGUGGAUAUUGAUUCUUCAAGAAUGUGCUUAUGACAAUCAUUUUUUACCAAGUGAAAAACAAAUCUCAUCACCAAGUUUCAGUUGGACAGACACUUGGAGGCAUACAUUUCGAAUUGCAUGAUGCAUGAGAAUCUUGUUCAUUGGAAAAUUAUGAUUAAUUCGUUGGUCACAUGUUGAAGUCAUGUAAGUGAAGGACUAAUAGAUCUAGUACAUGUUGAUAUGAACUAUUCAAAUCCAUCACAAACGACGAUAACUCUAUUCUUCAAGAUUUAUUGAUGCUUCAGAAAAUAUGAUUAUGUUUAUAAGAUUAAAAAAAUCUAAUACUUUUGAAAGGUUAAAAGAGUUGCAGAAUGAACAGAAGCAUCUAUUAGGCCGAAAGAUAAAAGAUUCUCCAAUCUGAAUGGAACGAAGAGUACUUUAGUAUCAUGUUUUAUGAUCAUCUUAGUAAUUGUGGAAUUGUAUCACAAUUAAUCCUCAAAGAACAUCCCAGUGCAGUUAUAUGACCAACAAGAGGAAUCAAACAUUAUUGGAAAUGGUUCGAUCAUAGAUGACUCAGAAUUUGUUUCAAUCAAGUUUUAGAUCCAUUCUAUAGUAACUGUAAAUCUUAUCUUGAAGCUCAUUUCAAACUAAGACGGAUGAUAACACCUCUUAAUACCAAGAGUGAAAAAUGCUUUACUUACUCCAACACAUUCAUAAUUGGAGUUUUAAUGUUUUCUUUGAUCGAGAAACAAAGGAUAAACUAAGUCCUAUUAUAUGGAGUGUUUCCUUGUCGGGAAUCCACAAUGAUGUUUGAAUUAUUGUGUUACCUCAUCAAGAAAUUUUCUUUGAGAGAUAAAAUUAUAUAUCAACAAUUUAACGGGAGUUGUAUUUUUCUUGAGAGUAUCAAGAGUCAACCGAAAAUAACCUUUUAGUAAUCACUAGCACACGACCCGAGGUUGAUAACAUGUUGCGUUUAAUUUACAUAUUUUUAUUUAUGUGCACUUCUAGUUGGGUUGGAAAUGCUUAUGAGUUCUAUGUUCUUCAUUUAACUACAAAAGGAAAAGUAUGUUGGCCGGUGAAAGUACACUAAUCAAUAUGGGUGAGCUGGUAACAACAUGGAAGAACUGGUAGGCCCUUCUGCUCCCAGAAAGAAAGAAAUUAAAAUAGGAAAGUUUAGUCCAUGCAGGAAAGUUGAAUUUGAUUUUGGUUUGUCGUGAACCAUAUCGUAUGACUGUUGGUUGGAAAUGGAAGAUCCAUAUGGAUAAGAAUGUGUGCACCUUGAAAUCUAAAUGACAAAGGUUUUGCUCUAAUUCGUGAUAAUUGUGACAACCCGAUAUUUCAACUCUUUGUAAUGACCUAAAAGGUCAAGUAUUGUAACCACUUUUGAGUUAAUAAAAUUAACUUUCAUAAUAAAAUGUCCAAAUAGUUCUAUUUAAAUUCCUUCUAUAUUUAAAUGUCUUUAAACCAUGAUCAUAUGUAAAAAGAACGCCCAAAUCCGACUUCGUAUAUUGAAGUUAUGAUUUUUCCAAGUUCAGCUUAGCAACAGACAGCUAAAAACUCGAAUCGGAGAUCGAGUGACUUUUGGCCGGAAUGACCUAAACGAGAAUCGAAGGUCUCGACAAUGGUAUUUCAGCGGUAAAAAGUCUGGCAAAAACCGACAUCAGAUAAAGAAGUUAUGAAUUUUUGAAGAAAUUCCUUAAACACGAUGAGUUAUAAAAUAAAUGAUAAAAAUAAUUUCGGAAUUUGCCAACGGAGUCUAAACGAAAGUUGUAGAGCGUAGUCUCACCUAUGCGUGGAUAUAAAGACCAUCGAAAACGGAGUUCGUAUGAAGAAGAUAUGAAUUUUUGAAGUUUAUUAAAUAAAUUAUAUAUUUAUUUAAUUCAAAAUUCAAGCAUUAUCCGAAGAGGAGUCAGCGUCCUCAUCCGAGGUACGCGCUGCGUACCCCUGUACGCCCUGCGUACCCGAGGGACUUGGCCUCGGAUCGUCCACGUCGCCCUAUGCGAGGCUACCGACCCGUCCGACCCGCCCGUCCGACCGACCCGUCCGACCCGCCGUCCCAUCCGACCCGCCAGACUGAUCCGUCCCAUCCGAAGCCGAGGCAGUCGAGGCUUCGGUCAUGCAUGACGUACGCGUACGCGCUGCGUACGAGCGUACGCCCCGCGUACGAGGCUUCUCAGACCCCCCUAUAAAUAGCAUGCGAGGGCUUCCGAAAAAGAUGCUCAUUUCUCUCCUUUCUCUCACGAUAUUGCCUCGUUUUCCGUGCCCGUUCAAACCCGAAGCUCUGGUCUUUUUGCUCAAGUCCCGAGGGUCGAUUUUACUCCCGAGAUUCCCGAGAAUCCCGAGAAAAAUCCGUUUCCCGAGACGAAACUCUGCCCGGUUUUCCAUCUCGCUAUCUUCAAACUUUCAAGUGAGUUCAUACCCCUUAAUUUACCUUUUAAAUGUUCUAUAAAUUCUUUUAUAUGCUUUCAAGGGGGGGAUUACAAGUAAAACACACGAGUAUUAUCGUGUGUUACAUAAAGAACUAUUUUAUAUGCUUUUAUAUAUCCAAAUCACAUGCGAUUUACAAACUUUAUAAGGAACUUUCAUAUAUAUAACAUAUGUUAAAAUAGCAUUCUAUCUUUUGAAAUAUAAAUUUGUUGUAAUGCAUGUAUAAACUAAACUUUUCUUAGAUUAUUCUUGUCUAUCUUAGACUCUACACCAAAAAUCUAUGCUUUCAUAAACAAGUGAUUCCUUUUCUAGGUAUUUCUAAACAAACAAGACACACUUUUAGAAAACUAUAAUAGGUAUAGUUUUACGAACAAAUUUCUAACUCUUAUGUACUAGAAACAUGAAUUUCAAGAAGUCACUUUCGUAUACAAGAACAAACGUAACAUUUUAACAAGUAGAUCUGUUUUUAUACCACGGUUUUGUGAGACACUAACUUCAUGUACGUUCGAGUACACAUUUCAAGUCCUGUAUUAUAUACCAGAAUCCCUUGGAGGGGGAGCAUGGUGUUUGUGUAUAGAUCUAUACGGGCUUGACAACCCGCGCCCUGACUGUUAGCUGCAGUCCACCGUUUGGGGUGACAAACGUCAUAACAUUCCAACGCCUGAAGAACGUUGUGUAUAGGCAUUCCGAGUCAAUAGUAUGGUUAUAAAACUCACAUGGGGUAUUAAAAAUGCAUUGAUUUACAAGGUUUUCAAACACAUUGGUUAUUUUACACUUACAUACAUUUUAGAAACAAACAUUGGUCUUGAGUGAAGGCUACUAUUAUACUAGUAGAAAAUAUAGGAUUUUCUAAACACAAACAAACAAAGACAAAACAUUUCAUUUCAUUCAAACAUUGUCACUUAAAUACUUAUGAAACUCACCAGCUUAAAUGCUGAUCUACUCUUUCAAAAUUACUUGUAUGUCCCAGGAAAUCAGUAAUUUCAGGUAUUCAUUACGCUUUUGAUGAAGGGAUGCUGCGGCGCCAGUUUAAUCUCGUAUUUUUGACAUCAUAUUGUAAUUGAGUUUUGAACAUGUAACUUUUGACAAAUGUAAACUUUCAAUUAUAUAUAUGAUGGUUGUAUUGCUUUCUUUACUAUGUAUUCAUUUGUUACGUUACCACAUGAAGUCAUCCGCCCCCGAACGUUUCCGCCGUUCAGGUUUGGGGGUGUGACAGAUUGGUAUCAGAGCAAUGUUUAUAGUGAACUAAGUAUAUCGAACCACAUAAGAUAUACAAACUAUAAAUGCUUAAGGGACUAAUACUCUCUGACAAAACAAAUUUUCUUUUUACACUUAAGCAGCAUUUCGUUCAACUUAAAUUGAUAGUUCAUUUAAGUACAAUUACAUGCAUACCACAAACUAUUUUCAUGUUAUACAACUAUACAAGUAUUUAGACAAGUUGACACUACGAUUGAGACUCGAUAUAUGUAAUCAGAUUUUGGACAAAUAUAGCGUGAUCAACUAUAUUUGCCCAAGAUUGGACCAACGUAUAUCGAGGAAUGAUCGUAGUAAGCAACAAGUCAAAACUUACCAAACCAUUACAAGAAUCAAACACAAGAAUUUAAAUACUAUAGGAGUAUUUGCUAUCUAAACUAGUUUAACUUACAUGUUUUACAUGUUCCGACUUUAUUCAAUUCUUAUAACCCUAUUUCUCGUACAGUCAAAUGGCUGGAUUUCACCACCCUGGCGACCCCUACUUUCCCAACCAAGGCAACGGAGGAUGGAUCGAAGAUGAUCCCGAAGAGGACGAGGAACCCAUAGAAGUGGGUGAUGACUCCGGUACCGACUCAGAGCCGGAAGUUAUCGAUCCACCACCCAUUCAACCUCCCGUCUUCGUAAGGAACUUUCAAGGACCGACUCCCGUCUGGGGAAGUCACCUCCACCAUUGGAGCCAACAGCAAAACCUACGCCCUCCCUACGGCAUGUGCCGGGACUUCUAUGAUGUCCGCGGCGGAGGUUCGGCUGAUCGAGCACUCCCGGUAAUGGUGGGUAAGUUAGCCAAUCAGUCCUAUCAGUCUGGAGUACAAGCUAGUCGACUCCGGGAUAUCAACGUGGAAGUGCAGGUUCACACUUCUGACAUCCGUAGGCUGGACAAGAUGCAAGACAACGCUCAAUUCCAAACCGAAGCGUUUCAAGCGCAAAUGAUUGCAGCCCUCGCCGAACUAAGGGAACAACAAGCCGCUUUCGAUAGGCGUCUAAUGGAGUCAAAGCAAUCAGAUACGGAGUCAAGCUCCAAGCGCAACCUUCGACGCAAGUAGUGCUUGUCAAGGACUCAAAUUUUGUUAUAGCUUAGGACCUCGGCUAAAAGUCUUUAAAUUUCUCGAACUUUGUAAUCGGAGACCCUUAUAGGGGUCAAAUUUUCAUGAUCGUUGUAACAACUUUUAUAUUAAUAUAAGUGGCACUAUUACUACUAUGUUGAGUAUUUCGUUCGAACCUUGAAUGGUCUUUGUGAACCCAAAUACUUGUUUCAUACCUUCAGUCUUACAAAUAACUUUCAUUCUUCUAUUUUAAGACUCAUACUAUCAUCUGUUGUUGAACUAUAGCGAUUUAGUUCAUGAGACACAUACAUUUUCCAUUCUAUGAAAUUCUUAUCCUUGUCUUUUCAAUCUAUAGUUGAAGGAUGCCUCCGCGUAGGAAUCCAAGGCGAAACAACGGUGAGGAAGCACCUAUACCACCACCACCUCCACCACCCCAAUUUGAUGCUGUAAUGUUUCAAGCAGCAGUCACCGCAGCGGUGGCAGCUGCCAUGUCACAGAUCAAUAACUCGAGUACUAAUGGCUCGGGAUCUGGCACACACCUAUCCAACCAUGGCGAGAGUCAUGGACCACCUCGAGAAUGCACCUAUAAGGACUUCACUAAUGCCAAGCCCCGGAUGUUUUAUGGUACUGGUGGUGUGAUGGCCCUGAGGCAGUGGAUUGAAAGGACGGAGGCAGUCUUUGAAAUCUGCUCCUGCCCCGAGCACAGCAAGGUCAAAUUUGCAACUUUCACCCUUCUCGAUAAAGCUUUAACUUGGUGGAAUGGCCACGUUAAAGUACUUACCCUAAUCGUGGCAAACUCCAUAAGCUGGGAGAGCUUGAAGGCCAUGAUGAUGAGAGAAUACUGCCCACGGGGAGAAAUUCAAAAGCUUGAACACGAGCUAUGGACUCUCGGAAUGGUGGGUACCGACAUCGCUACUUAUACCAACAGAUUCUGCGAACUGGCAAUCCUUUGUCCAGAUAUGAUUGCUCCCGAGAGCAAGAAGAUAGAAAGGUACAUCUGGGGACUGACGCCCCAAAUGCGAUCAAGCGUGUUAGCUUCUAAACCUGACACCUUUGAAAGUGCUAAGGAACUGGCACAAUCUCUGAUCGACUACGGAGGUCAUCAGAACUCAACCACUUCUGCACCAGCACCACAGAAAGGAAACAACAACAACAACAACAACAACAACAACAACAACAAUGGCAGGAAGAGAGCGUGGAUUAAAGGGAAGGGUGGGUCUUCCCAAGAAUCCGCAAAGAAACAACUGGUGUCAGUAAAUGCUGCCAUUGUACCUGCUACAGCCCCUACAAAUACCUACCCAACAAAGCCUUAUAUAGGUAACCUCCCAAAAUGCACCAAAUGCAAUUACCACCACCAUGGACCUUGUCGAGAUAUGCAGUGCGCCAACUGCAGCAGGAAAGGACACACAGCCCGUUUCUGCAAGGAACCCGCAAAGCCGAUCACUCAAGUUCCCGGUGCGGGUGUAGGGCAGGCUUGCUACGGUUGUGGCGAGGUGGGCCACUACAAGAGAAACUGUCCUAAGGCAGCAGGCACCGGAGGUGUGGGACGAGUUUUGGCAAUAGGCCACGACGAAGCUGUAGCUGACCCAACUAUAGUUGCUGGUACGUUCCUUCUCGAUAAUUCAUACGCAUGCAUAUUAUUCGAUAGUGGAGCGGAGAGAAGCUUCGUGAGUCAAAACUUUAUUCAUUUACUUAAACCUAAACCUAGCAAGUUAGAAAAAUCAUUCACUGUAGAGAUGGCCAAUGGAAAAACCGAAAACACAAAUUGCAUAUACAUGGGCUGUACGUUAACAUUAGACGGCCAUUCUUUCCCAAUCAAUCUCAUGCCGGUUCAAAUUAAAAGUUUCGACGUCAUAGUCGGCAUGGAUUGGUUGAGUCUUCUUCGCGCCGACAUCAUGUGCUUUGAGAAAGCAGUCCGUCUUAACCUCCCUAACAACGAAACAUUAGUUAUCUACGGCGACAAAUCUAGUGCAAACCUUCGCAUCAUUUCGUGCAUCCAAGCUCGAAAGUGCUUGCGGAAGGAUUGUCGAGCAUUCCUAGCGCACAUCGUCGAUACAAGUCAAGAACUGAAGGACAUCAAGAGCAUCUCGGUAGUACGCGACUUUCCCGAUAUCUUUCCAGAAGAACUACCAGGAUUACCACCGCAACGCCAAGUCGAGUUCAGAAUCGACUUAAUUCCAGGAGCUACCCCAGUAGCGAAGUCGCCUUAUCGUCUUGCACCAGCAGAGAUGCAGGAACUUUCCAGUCAACUUAAUGAACUCCUUCACAAAGGAUUCAUAAGACCAAGUUUCUCACCUUGGGGAGCACCGGUCUUGUUUGUAAAGAAGAAAGACGGAUCGUUCCGUAUGUGCAUCGACUACAGAGAGCUGAACAAACUUACUGUCAAGAACCGCUAUCCUCUACCCCGUAUCGACGACCUAUUCGAUCAACUUCAAGGGGCGAACUACUUCUCCAAAAUAGACCUGCGAUCCGGAUAUCACCAAUUACGAGUUCUAGAGGGGGACAUUCCAAAGACAGCCUUCCGAACUCGUUAUGGACACUACGAAUUCGUGGUGAUGCCGUUCGGAUUAACCAAUGCACCAGCAGUAUUUAUGGACCUAAUGAAUAGGGUAUGCCGCCCUUACUUGGAUCAGUUCGUCAUCGUCUUUAUCGAUGAUAUACUUAUCUACUCUCGAAGUGAGGAAGAGCAUAGUCAACACCUACGAAAAGUCCUAGAAACACUGCGAACGGAGAAACUCUAUGCGAAGUUCUCUAAAUGCGAAUUUUGGAUUCGAAGAGUCGAAUUUUUAGGUCACGUUGUUAGCGAGAAAGGUAUACACGUGGACCCCUCCAAAAUUAAGGCUAUUGAGAACUGGUCGGCACCAAAGACACCUACAGAAAUUCGUCAAUUUCUAGGUCUAGCUGGCUACUAUCGCAGAUUCAUAAAGAACUUUUCGAGCAUUGCGAAACCUCUUACUUCAUUAACCCAGAAAGGUGUGGCCUUUGACUGGGAAGCGAAACAAGAGAAGGCAUUCCAGACACUAAAGCAGGCCUUGUGCACCGCACCGAUACUAUCCCUCCCCGAAGGGAUAGAAGACUUCGUAGUGUAUUGCGAUGCUUCAAAUCAAGGACUUGGUUGUGUUCUUAUGCAGAGAGGGAAGGUUAUCGCUUAUGCCUCCCGACAGCUUAAGACACACGAAGUGAACUAUACGACACACGACCUCGAGUUAGGAGCAGUGGUAUUUGCUCUGAAGAUCUGGAGGCACUACUUAUACGGAACAAAGAGUACUAUAUUCACCGAUCACAAGAGCCUUCAACACAUUUUCGAUCAGAAGGAACUCAACAUGCGACAACGACGAUGGGUUGAGUUACUGAAUGACUACGAAUGCGAAAUUCGUUAUCAUCCUGGCAAGGCCAACGUAGUAGCCGACGCCCUCAGUCGAAAGGAAUACACUGGUCGGAGGGUCAAAUCUCUGACCAUGACUAUCCAUUCCCACUUAUCCACACAAAUUAAGGAAGCACAAAUGGAAGCUUUGCAACCUGAAAAUGUGGCGGGUGAAUCCCUGCGAGGAAUGGAGAAGAAUUUAGAAGUCAAGGGUGGCGGAGCCUACUAUCUCAUGGACCGAAUCUGGACCCCAAAUCAUGGUGGUUUCAGAAACGUAGUCAUGACCGAGGCUCACAACUCAAGAUAUUCCGUUCACCCGGGUUCAGAUAAAAUGUAUCUGGAUCUUAAGAAACUGUACUGGUGGCCUAACAUGAAAGCAGAAAUUGCUACCUUCGUGAGUAAAUGUCUUACUUGCGCUAAGGUUAAGGUCGAGUAUCAGAAACCGUCAGGACUACUACAACAACCAGAGAUACCGGAAUGGAAAUGGGAGCGGAUUACUAUGGACUUCAUAACCAAGUUACCCAAGACGACAAGUGGACUCGAUACCAUAUGGGUCAUUGUCGACAGAUUGACCAAAUCCGCACAUUUCCUACCCAUCAAGGAGACUGACAAAAUGGAGAAGCUUACAAGAACUUACUUAAGGGAAGUAGUGCGACUGCAUGGUGUUCCGAUAUCCAUUAUCUCCGAUCGAGAUAGUAGAUUCACUUCAAGAUUCUGGCAGUCACUACAAAGUUCCCUGGGAACUAGGCUAGACAUGAGUACAGCCUACCACCCACAGACAGACGGACAAAGUGAGAGAACAAUACAAACUUUAGAAGACAUGCUGAGAGCCUGCGUGAUUGACUUUGGAAAGGCAUGGGAUAUUCAUUUACCCCUUGUCGAAUUUUCAUACAACAAUAGUUAUCAUACAAGCAUAAAGGCUGCUCCGUUUGAAGCCCUCUAUGGUCGAAAGUGCAGAUCCCCUCUGUGCUGGACUGAAGUUGGCGAUACCCAGUUAGCUAGAGGAAGAGUUCCUGAAAGCACUCUCACCGGUCCGGAGAUCAUACGUGAAACAACAGAGAAGAUCGUUCAGAUUCGUGAACGAUUGAAAGCCUCAAGAGACCGACAGAAAAGCUACGCUGACCAAAGGAGGAAACCUUUGGAAUUCCAGGUAGGAGACCACGUCUUAUUAAAGGUCUCACCGUGGAAGGGUUUAAUACGAUUUGGAAAGCGUGGGAAACUAAAUCCAAGAUACAUAGGGCCUUUCGAGAUUCUUGCCAGAAUCGGCCCUGUGGCUUACAAGCUUAACCUACCGCGCGAACUUAGUAACAUCCAUCCAACCUUCCACGUCUCAAACUUGAAAAAGUGUCUGUCCGACGAGACUCUUGUUAUUCCACUCGACGAGAUCGAGAUCAACGAGAGCCUCAACUUUGUGGAAGAACCAGUAGAAAUCAUGGACCGAGAGGUCAAACAAACAAAACAAAGUCGCAUACCCAUCGUGAAGGUUCGCUGGAACGCCAAGCGGGGACCCGAAUUCACAUGGGAACGCGAAGAUCAGAUGAAACAAAAGUACCCUCAUCUCUUUCAUGUUCACUAGUAUCUUUACUACUUUAAAUUUCGGGACGAAAUUCUCUCUAACGGGGGGAUGAUGUGACAACCCGAUAUUUCAACUCUUUGUAACGACCAAAAUGGGUCAAGUAUUGUAACCACUUCUGAAUAAUAAAAAGUUACUUUCAUAAUAAAAUGUAUAAAUAAGUUCUACUUAAUUUCCUUCUAUGAUUAAAUGUCUUUGAACCAUGAUCGUACGUGAAAAGAACGCCCAAAUCCGACUUCAUAUAGCGAAGUUAUGAUUUUUCCAAGUUCGGCUUAGCAACAGACAGCUAAAAACUCGAAUCGGAGAUCGAGCGACUUUUGGCCGGAAUGACCUAAACGAGAAUCGAAGGUCUCGACAAUGGUAUUCCAGCGGUAAAAAGUCUGGCAAAAACCGACAUCAGAUAAAGAAGUUAUGAAUUUUCAAAGAAAUUCCUUAAACACGAUGGGUUUUUAAUAAAUAAUAAAAAUAUAAUUUUGGAAUUUGCCGACGGAGUCUAAACGAAAGUUGUAGAGCGUAGUCUCACCUACGCGAGGAUAUAAAGACCAUCGAAAACGGAGUUCGUAUGAAGAAGAUAUGAAUUUUUGAAGUUUAUUAAAUAAAUUAAUUAUUUAUUUAAUUCAAAAUUCGGAUAUUAUCCGAAGGGGAGUCAGCAUCCUCCUCCGAGGUACGCGCUGCGUACCCCUGUACGCCCCGCGUAACCGAGAGGAUUGGCCUCUGAUCGUCCACGUCGCGCUAUCCGAAGAAACCGACCCAUCCGACCCGUCCGAAGCCCCGACCCGUCCGACCCGACGUCCCAUCCGACCCGGCGUCCCAUCCGACCCGCGUACCCAGCAACCCGUCCCAUCCGAACCGAGGCAGUCGAGGCUUCGGUCAUGCAUGACGUACGCGUACGCGCUGCGUACGAGCGUACGCCCCGCGUACCGAGGCAGACCAGCCUUACUAUAAAUAGGAUGCGAGGGUUUCCAAAGAAAGGGUUCAUUUCUCUUCUCUCUCUCUCAACUUUGCCUCGUUUUCCGUGUCCGUUCAAACCCGAAGCUCUGGUCUUUUUGGCUCAAGUCCCGAAGGUCGAUUUUACUCCCGAGAUUCCCGAGAAUCCCGAGGAAAAUCCGUUUCCCGAGACGAAACUCUGCCCGGUUUUCCAUCUCGCUAUCUCCAAAACUUUCAAGUGAGUUUCAUACCCCUUAAUCAACCUUUUUAAUUAUUCUAAAUACUUUUAUAUGCUUUCAAGGGGGGGAUUACAAGUAAAACACACGAGUAUUAUCGUGUGUUACAUAAAGAAACUCUUUUAUAUACUGUUAUAUAUUCAAAUCACAUGCGAUUUAUAAACAUUUAAAGGAACUUUUAUAUAUAUAUAACAUAUGUCACAAUAGCAUUUUACCUUUUAAAAUAUAAUGUUGUUGUAAUGCAUGUAUAAACUAAACUGUUCUUAGAUUUUUCUUGUCUAUCCUAGACUCUACACCAAAAAUCUAUACUUUCAUAAACAAGUGAUUCCUUUUCUCAAUAUUUCUAAACAAACAAGACACGCUUUUUGGAAACUAUAAUAGGUAUAGUUUUACGAACAGAUUUCUAACUCUUAUGUACUAGAAACACAUAUUUCAAGAAGUUUACUUUCGUAUACAAGAACAAACGUAACAUUUUAACAAGUAGAUCUGUUUUUAUACCACGGUUUUGUGAGACACUAACUUCAUGUACGUUCGAGUACACAUUUCAAGUCCUGUAUUAUAUACCAGAAUCCCUUGGAGGGGGAGCAUGGUGUUUGUGUAUAGAUCUAUACGGGCUUGACAACCCGCGCCCUGACUGUUAGCUGCAGUCCACCGUUUGGGGUGACAAACUUCAUAACAUUCCAACGCCUGAAGAACGUUGUGUAUAGGCAUUCCGAGUCAAUAGUAUGGUUAUAAAACUCACAUGGGGUAUUAAAAAUGCAUUGAUUUACAAGGUUUUCAAACACAUUGGUUAUUUUACACUUACAUACCUUUUUAGAAACAAACAUUGGUCUUGAGUGAAGGCUACUUUUAUACUAGUAGAAAAUAUAGGAUUUUCUAAACACAAACAAACAAAGACAAAACAUUUCAUUUCAUACAAACAUUGUCACUUAAAUACUUAUGAAACUCACCAGCUUAAAUGCUGAUCUACUCUUUCAAAAUUACUUGUAUGUCCCAGGAAAUCAGUAAUUUCAGGUAUUCAUUAUGCUUUUGAUGAAGGGAUGUUGCGGCGCCAGUUUAAUCUCGUAUUUUGACAUCAUAUUGUAAUUGGUUUUGAACAUGUAACUUUUGACAAAUGUAAACUUUCAAUUAUAUAUAUGAUGGUUGUAUUGCUUUCUUUACUAUGUAUUCAUUUGUUACGUUACCACAUGAAGUCAUCCGCCCCCGAACGUUUCCGCCGUUCAGGUUUGGGGGUGUGACAAUAAUGAUUAUGAGGAAAUACUUUUGCUAGUAGAUUUUAAGAUUUAAUAAAUAUCAAUAUGGAUAUUGGUUAUGUUAGUUGCAUUCUAAAACUGACAAUAUGAUUACAACAUCCUUCUUAAUAUUUUGAGUUGUGAGAAAUAAAAAAGAAUUGUUUGAACUUUGUAAAGAUAUAUUUAUCAGUCUUGAAAGGGUUUAACACACACACACACACAUUAUCCAACUAAGGUGUAUAAGCUUAAGAAGUCUAGUUGGAGACUUAUUGAAGCAUCGUGUAAUAGAAAUCUGCACUUCCUUAAUAAGGCCAAAGAAUAUUGAUUUCUAGGAGUCCGGUUGAUUUCUAGGUACAUAUCAAAGCUAGUGGGAACAAUGUCUCCAAUUUGAAAAUUAAAAAGAUUGGGAAGUGUUUCGCUAUAAUGGACUUAAGGGAGAGGGAACUCAUACUUUAUUUCGAGUAUAAAGGAUUAGAUUGUAUGGUUUAAUAGAAGCNAAGAUCAUAUAUAUAUAUAUAUAUAUAUAUAUAAAUAUCAUGUUGAAACAUUUCAACAUAAGAGAUUUGAUAUAUAUAAAUAUUAUAGCAAGAGAACGAACAUAUAUAAAAUCUUUAUGUAGUACAUAAUGAGUCGAGUCACAUAUUCUUCAGAUAUACUCCCUCAGUCCAAAAAUUAUAGUCCAUCUUUCCCUUUUGGUUUGUCCCAAAAUAAUAGUCCACCUCUAAAACUAAAUAACAUUUUUACCAAAAUACCCCCUUAUUAUUACUUCACACAAUAAAUAUUUAAUGGAAUAUUAAAUGCAAAGUAAGGACAAAACUAUCAUUUUAUUGUAUAAAGUUAGUGGUAAUUAAUGUUUCCUUAAUCUAUGUGUUUUUUUGUCUGUUGAUAAUUUUGGGAUGGAGGGAGUAGAAUCGAUUACAUAUGCUUAAAUAUUCGUUUAUUCUACUUUUUCAAAUGCCUUUAGCAUUUUGUGAAAAGGAUUAGAAUUUCAUGGUACUAAAGUUGUUAAACAACUAUCAAGAGCAUUUUGAGGUUUAUCGAAGACUGGUUGCUCGUGGACAAUUUAGAGUAUGAUAUUUUUAAGACAGACCAUAAUAAAACGUUUUGGGUUGAGAUGAUUCUUGGUCAAAAAUGAUGGUCAUAUGGGAACAUGUAAAUAUUUCAAUAAUAGCAGAUGGGUGAUAAGUCUACAUGUGAGUAAGAAAAUUUAAUGCAAGAAAGUGUUCGAUGACUGUACCUUGAAUUUAAGACUUCAUAACCAUGAAAUUGUUUCUAGUAACAAGUUCUAGUGGAAUAUUAUGUAAUAUCGAAGGCUUAGUCUCUAUGACUUUAGAACCUUGACAUCAUAGAAAGAAAUUGCAUGUCAAGAUGAAAUUCCACUACAUCUUAGAUAAUGAUAGGAAUUUGGAAUUGUGAAAAAAGCAUCAUUGAAGUAAUGCCCAACUGAUCUGUUUACAAAGGAAGGACCAUAGAGAUGCAUAGUAUGCAUGUUCAUAACAUGGCAUGACUGAUGUUAUCUAAUUCAAGUGGUUAGUUGAUGUGACAACCGUUAAAUUCUGGUCAAGGCAAAGUCAAAUAAAGUCAACAAGUCAAACCGGUCAACUCUAUUAACCCUUGUAUACCAGGGUUCACUUUAUGUAAUUACUGUACAACUCACUAUUUUAAUAAGAAAUCAUCACUUGAAAAGUUUGUGUUUUUAGAUUUCUUAAAUCCUAAUCGGGCUAAGUGAGGUAGCAAAGCGAUAAAACACUAUUACAUACCCUUCGGGGGUGUGUAAGACUCUUAAACAUGGCUAAAAGGGGUUUGCGGACCUUGCGUUACAAAGCCAAACACUCAAAAAGGUCACAUAACAAAUCUCUACCAAAUCUCUCCAAGUAUGUGAAAUCUCUCCCAAAUCUCUCCAAGUAUGUGAAAUCUCUCCCAAAUCUCUCUCAACUUUUUAUAGUCAUCUGAAUCAUCCCGACCCUUAACUUGGUCAAAAAUCACUCGAAACAGGAAGAAAUCAUGAAAACACCCUCUUAAAGCCGAACCUUCUUAGGAACUGAACCUCUCUUAAGGAACCGAAACCUCCUAAGAACCGAAACCACCUCCUGAAACGAAACUACUAAGGAACCGAAAGUAACCUUCGGUCCAAGCCUUCACUUUCGGUCCGAGAUGCACACCUUAAGGAGCUGAACCCUACUCUCGGUUCCCCCAUCAACUCUCGGUUCUAAGCACCAGGGACCGAACCUCCGGCCCAAACUUCAAAUUUUCGCCUGUUUUUCCCAGUUUUUGACCAUUUUCGCGUUUUAAGCCCGUUUUUUGUGAUUUUAACGCGGGAUUUUCACCCAAACUUAUAUUUUGACAUAUAAGGCCCCAUAUUUCCAUAAUCUAAGCACAUUUUUAUGGAAAUCUUUAUUUAAGAAUGAAAUAUAGUGGGUGAGUUAUGUAGGUGGAGUGUUGACUUAUCCUUUGUACAAGAACACAAGCAACCUCCCACACUCACUCCAAGGCCAUACCCAACAACUAUUCCCCCAUACCUGGUCAAUCCUCGUCCUUUUUUCCAUAAUUGUUCCAGCCAUACUCUUGAACAAAAUCUGGAAAUCCUCAUCUCUCUUCCCAUUUCACUCCUUCUCCACCAAAGAGAAAACUUCAUUCUCUCUCACUUCUCUCUCUAAGAUUUCAAGAUUUCAAGGUUGACUUUCAAGUUCUUCAUAUGCUUUUGGUAAGUAAAAUCAUCCUUCAUAUGAUUAUUCCACCUCUUUCUACUCCAAUCAUAGGUUUCUUACACAAACUUCAUCAUAAUUGUGCUAGAUCCUUGAAUCUUCAAGCAAUCUUCUAAGUGUUCUUGAGUUGAACACUUCAUUUCUUCAUCAUCCAUCUACUAAAAUCACUCAAGGUGAGUUCAUACCCUUAUCUUUUCACUUUUUCUUAAGUUUUGUGAGGGGGAUACAAGUUAAAACACCAAGAACACAACUAAACUCUCCCAACAGCUUUCAUCAGAAAAGUUAGACUCCAUUCACGGACUAUUUUGGACAACUUAAACAUUUUAUUUUUUAGAACUAUAUUAGGUGCAAAUAUUUCAGGUUCAUAACUUUAAAAUAACUACUUGCACAUCUCCAUACAAUUUUUCUACAAUUUAUGGUGAUCUUUACAAAGCUGCCUAUCAUUUCAAGGACAAAUUCGGACUAGUAUGUGAUUAUGGACUUUUUCACACAAGUUGGGGGUCACUAAAAAUCAUAAUAAAAUUUAUGAACAAACUAGACUCAUUUUCCAAACUCUCAGAAUUUACAGAUUCUGAUUUGGACCUUUGAUGAAUUUUCUAUAAAUUUUCUAAGAACAAUAUUAGAAAUGUUAACACUAGAAAUAUGUUAUCAAUUUCAUUUACACCUUGUAACUUGUUGAGAAAGGUGUGUAUCAUUAUGAGAUUAUAUGUUAUUAUAUUAUAUGUCAUUUUCUAUUGGUGUUUAGACAUUACAUCAGAAAACAAAUGGAUUUUUCUAGAUUAAAUACGGUAAAUAAUAAAUUGUUAUAAACAAUGUUUACGUCCAUUUCAUACAAACAUUUGGUAAACUAUGACAAGUAUAGUUUAUGUACACUAUCACUACUAUUGUUUUGAUAAACUAUAAUAGGUAUAGUUUAUGAUUCAUCUACAUAACAAACUCACAUCUAAAGGUUACACUUAUACAAAAGGUUUUUCAUUAUACCACACGUAAGUUCGUUAAUGACUUUUGUGAGACAUUCGCUCCAUAUUACUUUUCAAGUAUUACACACAAGUCAUGUAUUGUAACCAUAAUCUCUUGUAGGGAGAGCGUGAUAGUUGUGUAUAGAUCUAUAUUGGGUCUAACAAACCCACACCUUAGCUGCAUGCAACAACUAGACCGGCAGGUCUGGGGUGACAAAUGCCAUAACAAUUCCGACGCCUGAAGAACGUCGUUUCAGGCCAACUAGGUCAUAGCAUGGUUAUAAUAACUCACAUUAAGUAUUAACAAACACAGGAUUUACGGGGAUUUAAUUGGAAUCAAAUAAUUUUAUGUAGAUUUAAACUUGCAUUGUUUACUAUAAGUAAGGAAAAUUGCUUGUACAUUUCGGUCUUUGGGUUAAAGACUAUGUUUUACACUUUAAGGAAAAUAUUGGAUUUUUCUAAGGACAAACACUACUUUUUCAAGAAAAGUUUUCAUAACUACAUCCAAAAGCUUAUGAACUCACCAACUUAAUUGUUGACACUCUUUCAAAAUUAGUUGUAUUCUCAGGAAAUCAAUAAACAGGUAAUCAAGUGCUUUUGAGGAUGGGAAGUUGCGGCGUCAAACAUUUCAGUUUUGUCAACGUAAUGUAAUUGAUUUGGAAACAUCUAAUCUCAUACAAGGAUGUAACUUUUUCAAUUAUAUUUAUGUUGGUUGUGUUUACUUUGAUCACUAUUGCAAAUUGUUGUUAUGAUACUAUACAUGAAGUCCUCCACCCCCAGACGUUUCCGCCAUCCUUGGUUUGGGGGUGUGACAGUUGAUUAGUCGAAACAUUAUAAAAUGAAUAAAUUUGUAUUAUUAUGGUGAUUAAAUAAAUAGGGAUUUAUUUAUCUUCAAUGCGUAUGCUACUAUAGUUAAUUAUUUUAUAAUUGUGUUUCACUUUGCAUGUCUUACAUCUUGAAUAAUUUUAUUAUUCAAAUUCCACAGUUGUUAAUACUUUUGGAAGUAAAUAGUGAAUUAAGGUUGUCAUGAAAAACUUGUAGAUUAUCCAUAGAGAUUUGACAUUGCAUGGGAUUGCUGCAUUAUUCAUGAGUACUUGAAAAUAGGGAUUUUAAGUAUUGGAUAAACCCACACUUAUAGAUUACUUCAUGAAUUUAAUCACGAUUAAUUCUAAGACGAUAAUAUUUAUUAUUCUUCAAACGAAGAUACAUAAGUUGUAAUUUUCAAUUCAGUUGUGCAUUGGUAUUGCAUAAACGAACCAGUAAGUUGAUGUUAUAAAACAUAAUGUCAUGUAUGAUUUGAUGAGUAAAGGUUAAAGUUAUGUAGUCAAAGUUUAUUCGUUCCUUUUGCCUUAACAGGAAAAUCAAUAUCUUUGAGCCUUUCAAUGAUUUGAGUUGAUAUAUAAAAAUCAGGUCAGGUACAGACUAAAUUGAUAUGUUCAAUUUUGUAGUUUGAAUUUGAUCACAAAUCGGGAAAUCGGGAAACAUACAAAUGAACAAAAGGUUGAUAAUUUAAUCUGUGACUCUAUUCAUAUGAUAUAUUAUAGAAUGAAGGAAUAGUUAAUCACUUAUCUUGUAGAAAGAAGGAAUAGCUAAUCACUUAUCUUAAGCACUCUUUUCUGUUUAGUUCAAGGUUAUACUUGCAAUUGUAGUUAUAGACUUAUCCAAGUGGGAGACUAUUGAAUUAAGGUGUCUAAACCCAUAACUAAAUUGUUAUAUACUUAUAAUUACAAGCAAAGUUCUUUUUCGGGUUUCCCUCAUAACCAGAAAUAGCUAGAAAUUAUAUUACGAGAUAAAAGUAUAAUUUAUUCGAUUAUUAAACUAAUUGGAAAUUAUGAGAAAAUGAUUUGUUGAUAUAUUAUGUGAUUAAUAUAAUAACUGGAAAUAGAUAGUUGAUUUGUUGAUUUAUUAUGCGAUUAAUAAAUUAAUAUGAGAUUAAAUGUUAAAUAAUUGACCUGUUAAUUUAUAUGAUUAAUAAAUUUACGUGAAAUCAACUGGAAUUGAUUAAUUAUUAAUCAGAAUUAAUCUGAAAUUAAUUUGGGAUUAAUUGAAAUAACUUAAAGGCGUAAGUGGUGAAUUAUAAUUUUUUAAUAGUUGAACAAAAAAGAAAUUCUAUAAUCCUCCAUGGUAUAGAUGAUUUUGGAAGGUUUCCUAGGGUUUCUAAAAGCCUCUUGGUUGUAUAAAAGGAAAUAAUCAAAGGUAGGAUUAAAUCAAUUAUUUAUUUAAUUCAAAUCUUACUUUGCCUGCAAGUUACCUAAACUAUAAAUAUGACCCAUUGACUUACAAAUUUCGUUCACCACAUUACCUAUAAGCAUAGGAACGAAAUUUCCCUCGUAUCUGCUCUCUCCUCCUCAUUCUAGGAUUUAAGGUUUUGGGUGUGACCUAUUAAAGGCAUCAUCCUUUUGGUGCUAGCUUUCCAAGACUAAGAAUCACAAGGGAUUGAAGUUUUUUGUUUACUACAACAAAUCAAAGGUAUGUAACCCUAAUCCUAUGUAUAUCUUGAUUAUGAUAGGUUUCCUUUAGGGUUCUUAAUGUUCAUAGUUUAUUUCUAUCAAUUAGAGAGAACAUAGAUUCUUUGUAGGUUGCAUGUGAACUUAAGGGUAAAGAUUUUUGCUUCAUAUGUAUUUUAGUAACCUAUAAAACCUUUUAGUGGCUCCAUCAUUUUAUAAAUAUCACAUAUGGCUUUAUUGCCACAACGUUGAAAGUGAUGGGUUUGAGCCAUAACAACAUUCCUAUGUGCACAUGCAAACCCUAAUGCUUGGAUCUAGGUUUCUCUAAUGAACAUGCUUUUCAUCCAAGACUUGUAAACCCUAGAUCUAUGGAAUGCAAUUCGAAAUUGACAAUACAAAAGAGAUCUAGAUGAUUACCUCUUCUUGAAAACUUGAAUCUUGUUAUCCUUGGGGCUUCGAGUCACAAAUGUCACACCUCUAAUGGCUUACAAACACCAAGAAGCAAGAUGAUGAUUUGAAGAGAGGUUGUAGGCACAAAAUCGGCUCUAGGAACUUCUUAGGGUUUCUGGUAGCCGAUUUCUGUAGCCCCUGGGUUCUUUAAAUACUUGAGCUACUAGGGUUACAACGUGAAACCCUAAUUGGAUUACUUAGGCCUUAAGCAGUCCAAGGAUAAUUCUAUAUACAGGCUUGGACGAAUUCAAGGAGUCCAUACACCAUAAUUUCGUCCACCCUUACAAUCCAAAAGGAUCCACAGCCCAAAACCAACUAUCACACAAUUGACAAUUCUAGUCCCUUUUAUUUAAUUAAUCUAUUUUAGCCACAUAAUUGAUUCUUAAUUAAUUCUUUUCUAAUAUUAAUUAAACUAUAUGAUUUCUCCUUUAAUAUAUUAAUCAUAUAAUAUAUUAAUAAAUCAUAAUAACCUCUUUAUUUAUAAAUCAUCCUAUCACGUUGCUUUGGUGAAGGCAACCCAAAAGGACCAUGCACAACCGGGUCAAGUACUUACCAAAUAUAGUUAUGGGCUUAUACACUAAUCCAACAGUCUCCCACUUGGAUAAGUCUACUAACUAUAAAUAUAAGCAUAAUCCUAUUAGCAAUCAUAGCUCUCAAAGACGUUGUUGAACUCUGACCUUAUCAAUAUUAUGUCCUUUAGAUAAGGGAUCGAAUGAUCCUCUGUUCUAGAUAUCAUGCGGACAAUCACAUGGAACAUAGUCAUACUUAUUGUCCAGCAGUUUGUUUCUCAAUCUCAGAUUCGUUUGACAUAGAACUUAAUUGAACACAUCAAUUCAGUCCUGACCGGGCCCGACAUAUAAGUCAAACUAAAUCAUCGAGGGGCCCUGAUAUCGCUUUUACCCUCUUAGGAUAAAAGGAACAGAUAAACUUCGACUUAUAUGCAUUUACUAUUCACUAAUCAAAUCAUACACAACAAUGCGUUUUAUGACAUCAAAUUACUGACGCGUUUUCGCAUUAUCAAUGCACAACCAAUCAGCAAACAAUAAACCAUAUAUUUAGGUUUAAGACCAUAUGAUAUUAUCAUCUUGUGAUCACUCGUGAUAAAUUCCAUGAAGUGAUUCCAACAAGCGUGGGAUUAUUCCAAUGCUCAAAACUUGAUCAUAAGCACUAAUGAACGUUGUAGCAAACCUUUUCUAUGUCUAAUACCAUUCAGACAAUCUACACACCUAUUCAUGACAAUCUUUAUUCAUACCUACUUCCAACAUAUGAACGACUGUGGACCAUUCGAAUAAUUCGAUUAUUCUUAAAAAAAUCAAUUAUUCAGGAAGUCAAAACAUGCAAAGUGAAACAAUAGAUAAACAAUUAACAUAAGACAGUAACUUUACUUAUAAAUAAUGCUCAUUUAUUUAAUCAUCAAAUGUCAAUUACAUUUAUCUAUUACACGUUUCUAAACUAUAUAAUCUAAACUAAUAUCGUCCUUCAGCCCAAUUCUCCUAGCAUGCUGCAAGUGCUUAACCCUACUCCGUCCCUUCAUAAGUGGAUCUACUGGGUUAUCCUCUGACGAUACCCUUUUCACUACGAGGAGUCCUUCUUCUACCCGAUGUUGAAUAAAGUGAUAUUUUAUGUCGAUAUGUCAAGAUCUACCAUGAUCCCUCGGUUGCUUGGUCAAGGAAACCGCUCCUUCAUUAUCACAGAAAAUUUCCAUGGGCUCCUGUAUGGAUAGCACAACUCCAAGGUCUACAAUGAAAUUCUUCAUCCAUAUUGUGUAACAACCAGAAGUUGUUCAUCGCUGAAAACCCAUUCUACCUGUAUAACUCGUCGGAAAUCGAAAUGUCCCGAUAUCGUUUUUGGGCUUAGUUAACUAAAAUUAUAUGUUAUUAUCAUUCAAUGAGGGUCCAAAUCAUUUAGGAACUCAUGAAUUUAGCCCAAAACAUUUAUUUCAUAAGUUUUAGAAAUAUCCUCGUUGGGUGACGGAAACUCAAUCGGGUGUGACCUAUAGCCUCGUUUAAGGCCGGUAUCGGGUAGAAUUCCACCGUGUCUAAGUGUUAGGAACUAUAUAAACAUGUUUAAGCACUCAUUUGAAGCUUUUUCCUUCUCUCUCUACUCUCUCUCUAACCUCUCUCCUAAAUCCAAAGAUUAAGUGUCCAAAACUCAAUUUUAAGGCCUCAAAUCCUUAAGGUACCUUCCUAGCCUUAAUCUAUAGCAUGUUUGGCUUCCAAAUUUGACAUUUAAUCAUGAAAUUGGACAAUAUAUGUGAGUUUACGGCCCAGGAGGCUGCCUAGGCCGUAAACACCAUUUUGAAGGGUUUUUAGCCCUUAAACUCCUUCCUAGACUCAAUUGGACUUUAGAUAUGGCUAAGGGACUUCAAGAUAUGGACUUAGAACAUUUAAAACUUUGAUUUUGAGGACUUUGAAGGAGUUUACGGCCAAGGCAUAAGCUUGGGCCGUAAACUCAUGUAAAUGGGGUUUUUCAUGCCUUUAAACCCUUCCAAAUCACUUCUAUGGCUUAGAUAUGAAUUAUAGGACCUUGGUUUUAGCAUUUGGACACUUGAAACAUGAUUUUUGAGGGAUUUAGAUGAGUUUACGGCCAAGGUGAGUGCUUGGGCCGUAAACUCCCCAAAACUUGACAUAAAUCCAAUUCUAAGGUGUUAGAAAGCCAUCCAACACCACCAAAAGCCUUGGAAUAAAUCAAGGGACCAACCAAAAAUACUUUAAGGGCCUUAAACACAUCAUUUGUGGGAUUUCUAAGAGUUUACGGCCAAGGCUUGUUCUUGGGCCGUAAACUCCAAAAUUUUUGGUGUUAGAAUGCAAACUAAACACCCCUAAGGCCCUUAGAUGAAUUUUAGAAGUCCUUUCAUGCAAGUUUUAGACCUUGAAACACCUUGUAGCACCAUAUAUUAGAGUUUACGGCCAUGAAGGGGGUUUCAUGGGCCGUAAACUCCAUAAAUCCCUCAUAUGUCACUUGCAAACUCAUUUCUAGGCUUGUGGGAAUUUUUAGAAUCACAUGUGAUUGAUUUUAACAACUUAAAAACACUAAAUCUUGGAGAAUUGAGAGUUUACGGCCAAAGAACCCAUGCCUAGGCCGUAAACUCCCUUAUGUGUUGUAAAUGAUGUUUUUAAAUUAAUCCAAGCCUUAAGAAAAAUUAAUCCAAGCAUUUCCAAGUGUCCAUAUCCAUUUAUAACCCAAAUUUGCACUCUAAACCACCCUACCAUGAGUUUACGGCCGUAAACUCAUGGGGAAUGGGUGUUUUGGACCUAAAACUCUUGUAUAAGUUUACUCAUGGGGAGUAAACUCAAGUCCCAAGUCCCUAGUGUCAUUUCACAUCCUUAAACGCCACCCGGGUCCCUCCAAACACUCGUAUCGGAGUGUUUUCGCGACUAGAAGCAAUUGUCCCUAUCCAACAAUCAAUCUAAGUCCUAAUUAGAUACAAAUGUGUAUCUUUACAUUAUAAUUAGGAACCUCGUGUAUUUACAAGCCCCGGAUCAACUCUUAGCAUCCAAAUCGUCAUACUUCUCGUCCGGUGAGUUCAUACCCCUACGCCUUUUUCACUGUUUUUAACUGUUUUCAGGGGGGAAUACAAGCAAACCAAAACUGUUUUCAAAUCAUAACAUCUAUGUAUUUCAAAUAAUAUCUGGCAAACUUAUAAACUCUUUUACUCCUUAUGUAUUAUGUUGAGCAUAAGGAAUGAUUUAUCAAUUACAACUAAAUGGAUUUUAGUUAAGAAAAUAACCAAACUAAUCAAAUUAUUAUGGGAAUAAUUUGGGGUUCUAUGUUUCUCUUUAUAUCAUGUACUGAUAUCUGUAUUAAGUUAUUAGAUAAACUAUGUCUGAUUCAGUUUAUCUCCGUAUCAUUCGAAUGUUUUGCCAGAUAGUUUCAUUGUAUGUAUCUAUUUUUCACUGUAUCAUGUCUUAAAGUCUUUGUAUGUUUGUUAUCGUAUGAGAAUCCUGUGAAUAGUUUAAUACUAGCUUGUGAGAUAGUCACUACCCUUUAUGGAUGAUCAAGUAAAUCCUCUCCGGAAGUGUAACCAGAGUCUCCUGGAGGGAGAGCGAGGAAUUUGUGAAUAGAUCUAUUCGGGACUGACAAUCCCACACCUUAACUGCUAGCUACAGUUAGGCGGGCACGCCUGGGGUGACAAAUUCUGGAUAUCAUUCGACGUCUGACUAACGUCAAGGAGGUCUCGUUGUCAUAUCAGCAUGGUUACCCGACUCACAAUACGUAUUAAUAUAAACUUAUUCACAGCUAGGAUUUGUUUAGAAUCUAUAUCUUGUUCGGGAUGGUAAUCCCAUGGUCUUGUAAUCUAUAUCUCGUUCGGGAUGGUAAUCCCAUGGUUUUAUGUCUAUACCUCGUUCGGGAUGAUAAUCCCAUGAUCUUGUGUCUAUAUUUCGUUCGGGAUGGCAAUCCCAUGGUUUUGAAACUAAAUCUUAUACGGGAUGAUAAUCCCAUGAUUUUAUCAAUCUAUCAUAUAUCUAGUUUCGGGAUAGUGAUCCCAUGGUUUAUCAAACUAUCUUAUAUCUAUUUUCGGGAUAGUGAUCCCAUGGUCUUUAUCGAAUUAUCUUAUAACUGGUUCGGGAUGUUAGUCCCAAGGUUUUCAAAAUACUUUCUAUCUACAGUUCGUCUAAAUUAUAGUUUUGUAUAUUAAACUAUACUAUGUGUUAUUCAAUCAAUCUUGCAUUUAGGAAAAUAUGGGAUUUUCCUGGGGUUAACUUAUAACUUGUAACAGAACUGUAACGAAAGAUAACUUAACUACUUUACAUAAGAAAAUAUGGGAUUUUCUUGGAUAUCAAAUCUUUUCAGAAAACUAAAGGAAACCGAUACAUUUUCACAAAACAAAACCGCUUAUGAACUCACCAGCUUUAUGCUGAUUUUCAAACUGCUUGUAUUCUCAGGUCCAAGUUAGACAGGUACCCGGCAAUAUCUUUUGGUGAAGAUGGAGUGCUCCGAAGACUCGUCUCUUUUGUUCAUAUGAUAUAUGUAUAACUUUGUACAAUUUACUUUUGAACCAAAUGUAAACUUUCAUAUAUAUGUAAUGUAAUGGUUGUUUACUGUGAUUACUAUGUACAUUGGAUUUGAUACACAACAUGGAGUCAGCCCCGGGAACGUUUCCGCCUUUGGUUUUCGGGGUGUGACAUAUUGCCUCAUUUGAUGCUUCGCUCGCUGCAACGUACUCUGAUUCGCAUGUUGAGUCAGCUACGGUUUCUUUCUUGGAACUUUUCAAGUCACUGCUCCUCCAUUAAGGGUAAAGACCCAGCCCAACUGCGAACAGUAGUUGUCCCUGUCGGUCUGAAAACUGGCGUCACUAUACCCUCGCACUUUUAAGUCAUCACUCCCAUCGAGGACUAGAAACCAUUCCUUGGUCCUCCGAAGGUACCUAAUAAUAUUCUUGACUGCGGUCCAAUGUGCUUUUCCAGGGUUCCUUUGAUAUCUGCUGACCAUGCUCAAAGCGAAGGCCACAUCAGGGCGAGUACAAGUCAUAGCGUACAUGAUCGAGCCAACUGCGGAAGCGUAAGGUACUCGGCUCAUCUCUGUCAUAUUUCAUAAUCAUGAAAUGCAGCAAUGUCCAGCAUGUAACACCCAUAAAUUUCCAACCAAUUUAAACUUAUCAAAAACAAUCCAAAUCCAUUAAUUAUUACAAAAAGGUUUUCAAUUAGUUUAUUAUCAGUGUAUCCCAUAAAUAUCAACAUAAAAAUGAGGAGCGGUUCGAUCACGCCUUUGCCUAGCCACGAUCUUCGGAGGUACCUGAAACAGUACACUGAAACUGUAAGCCCGAAAGCUUAGUGAGUUACCCCCAAAAUACCAACCUCGUAUAACCAUAAUCAUAUCAUAUCACAAUACAGAACAACCAUGCAUAUCGAGUCUACAGUGUCACUGGUCCGCCCGCACUGGGCCUUCAAUCCACCUGGUACACCCUCUGAGUCAAUAUUCUGACUGGUUCGCCCACAUCGGGCCUUCAGUCUGUCUGGUCCACUCUCCGAGCAUCAGCACGUCUGGACCACCCUCUUGGGGCCUUCAGCCUAUCCGGUCCGUCGUGGGUAUGUUGGCCUACAACACAAAGCAAGACCCGCCUCAACCCAAACCCCAAUCAACAUCCACAUGCACAUAAAUAGAUAAUCACAUAACAAUCCUUAACUAAACAAACCAGUCUAGCAGAUCAUACGACAUAACAACAUCCUAACCAGGAUACCGACCUAACCGGCCACUAACAUAACAUUAUCCUAUAUACCAGGAUACUGACGUAAACCAGGUCACUAACAUAAUACCAUCCUAAUUACCAUGAUGCAGAUCUAGCAAAUCAAUAACUUAUCAAACAAAUACCCGGAUUCCAAUCCGAUAAAGGGUCGGCCUUAAUUCCUUAGACCCUGUUGAUAUACUGAGGAUAACUCACCUUACAAAGUCGAGCUUGAAGAGAUAAGAUCAAAACUCCCGAUCACCGCCACAAACUCCACCACCUAACACUUCAAUGAAACCAUAACCAUCAAUGCCCAAAAUACCAUAAUACCCUUGGAAGUCAAACUAGUAAACUCUUGGUCAAAGACACAGUCCUGGUCAAAGUCAACCUUCCGGGUUGACCCUACUCGCCGAGUCAUACUAAUGACUCACCGAGUUCAUGAACUCAGAAUCCCACCAUUCACGACUCGACUCGCCGAGUCACCCAAUGACUCGCUGAGUCCUUCAAUCCGAGUCCUAGCCUGCCCAACUCACUGAGUCCACUCGACUCACUGAUUCACAUCGUAACCAGAUGGGAUAGGGUUUGCGACCCAACUCAUCGAGUCCAAGAACAGACUCGCCGAGUUCACUUAAGUCAUCCCUAUUCAGACGGUUUCAGACCAUUUCACUGCUUCCAACUCAUAGAUCUAGACUACUAGGGCUAGUUUCAUACGUAAAGUUUCAAACUUUACAUGCAUGCAAAGCAAUAUUGGCUAAAUACAAGCUAGAAGGAAGGUUUAAGACAAGUACACCCUCAUACAUGCCUAAGGCCUGAUGCUAUAUGCUUUAAUUGAUCAAAGCCAACCUAGAUUUGAAGUUGUAACCUCAGAUCUAGUCUCUAAACCCGAAAUGGCUCUCAAACAAGCUAAGAAGCCCCAAAUCAACUUCCAUGGAUGAAGCUAGAAAGAAAUAGCUUAAGGUAAUGACCUCUUACCACAGAGAUCUGCCCAAUAUGAAGUAGAUCCCAGAUCCACACGAAUUCCUUGAUGAUAGCCUCUUAAUCCACAAGCUCCUUUCACCAAUUUCCUCUUCCAAGCUCAAAUCUCCUCAACAAUGGAGGCUCACACGAUUCUAGGGUUUACUGGCACUCAAAGGGAAAUAAGGAGGCUGAGGACAUAAAUUCCUUUAAAUAGGGUGCAAACCCUAAAAUUUAGGGUUUCUCUUCAUAGCACCGACUUGUCGAGUCCAGCCGCUGAUCUCGGAGAGUCGGGUCACUUAUCACGUGCCCAACACCCGCUCUGACUCGAUGAGUUAAGGCCCCUACUCGCUGAGUCCACUCCAUAUUUACACCAAGCACCACUGAACUCUUGCUUCUGAACCUGGGAUGUUAGACAUCAUCACCCUAAUAGACUUUAUUUUCACAACUGGUGAGAAGGUCUCAUGAUAGUUAACUCCGGGAGUUUGAGUAAAGCCCUUCGCAACCAAUCGCGCCUUAUAUGUGUGCACAUGACCAUCCAUGUUGGUUUUCUUCUUGAAGAUCCAUUUGCACCCGACCAUCUUACGUCUGGGCACAUGGUCAACCAAAUUCCAAACUUGGUUGUCAUACAUGGACUGAAUCUCGCUGUCGAUCGCCUCUUUCAAUUUUACAGACUCUGGGCGUGCCAUGCCUUCCUUAUAGCUGUUAGGUUCAUCCAAAUUCACUAGUGUACUAUCACUAAUGAACAUAUCCCCUUCCAUAGUAAUAUGAAAACCAUAAAACUGGGGUUGAACCCUAACUCUUUCGGAACGUCUAAGAGGUAAGGACUCGUCAAUUGGUUCAACUGGAGUUUCCUCCUCGGGUUCAGAGCCAGCGUUAGAGGUUCCUUCUGUUGGGUUUUGAGCAUUCUAACACUCCUAAGUGUACAUGCAACCCUAAAUACCUUGGAUCUAUGUUUUCUCUAAUAUACAAUCAAAUAUGAACUUUCCAAGGUAUUCAUCCUAACUAGCAUAAUAACAUUGAUUCAUAUGAAUAUAUCAAGUUAGAAUUACAUACCUCUUUGAUGUAGAAUGUCUUCAUGAAGCUUGAGUGCCUAGUGCCCCAAGUGUGACACCUCAAAUGGAAUCACAAUCAUCAAAACACUUGGAAUGACUUGAGAGAAUUCUACACUCUUCAAAAUCGGCUAGCCCUUUCUUCACUAUCACUAGUGGCCGAUUUUUCCUCAAUAAUAAGAUGCUUAUAUAGUUACACAAUUAGGGUAAACUCUUAAUUGUCAUGGCUUUCCAUUUCCUUGGAUCCAUGGGUACAAAUACACCAUGGAGCAUCCAUGGACCAUCCUAUGGGUUUUAGCCCAACUUGAUUAUCCAUGGAGCAUUAGCCCACUAUACAAGUAUGGAUGAUUUACACAAUCAACCCAUAUAUUUAAUUAGUCUUCUUUUGAUCACUUAAUUAAUCCUAGAUUAAUUCUUGAUCAAUACUAAUUAAAUAAUCUUAUUAAUAUAUUAGAACUUAUAAUAUAUUAGUAAACCUUAAGUGUUAUUUCUCUCAUUUUAGUCUAUCCAAAUGCAUGAUGCCAUGCAACCCAAAUAGACCAUGCCAGGUCGAGUCAAGUCUUACCAAUUAUAGUUAUCGACUUAGACAUUAAUCCAACAAUCUCCCAAUUAGAUAAGUCUAAAACUAUUAUUGUGUAUGACUUCAAGAACCGAUCAGUAAUCGUAGCUCUCAAAAGCUUCUGUCGAACUCUGACCUUGUCGAUGAACUCUGACCUUUGUCAAUGACUUGUCCAUUAGAUAAGGGAUCAUAUAUUCCUCCAUUGUAGAUAUCAUAUGGAAUGAGACAUGGAUUAUAAUCAUUCUCUCUGUCCAUUUGUUGUUUCCCGAUUUCCGAUUUAUGACGACUGACUAAUUGAACAAAUCAAAUCAGUCCUGGCCCGGCCGAGCACUUCCAUUUGUCAUCAUCAAAUCAUCGAGGGGCCCACAGAUAUCGCUUUUAUCCCGAAGGUAAAAGGAACGGAUAAACUUCGACUCAUAUGGCUUGUUCUACUACUUGUUGAAUCAUACACAAAGGCACGUUUUAUAGCACCGAGUUACCAAAUGCGUUUUCGUGCAAUCAAUGUACAACCAACUCAUAGUAACAACUCAUAUCUCUAGGUUUGAAGAAUAUAAGAUAUUGUCAUCUAAUGAUCACUCGUGAUAAAAUCCAUGAAGUGAUUCCAAAGAGCGCGGGUUGAAUCUCAGAACUUAUGAGCACUCAUGAGUGUGGUAGCACCAUCUUGUCCAACAUCUUAGACCUCUACAUGCCCAACCCAUGACAGUCUUGAUUCAUAUCUACUUCCAACAUAUGAAUGAAAGUGGAUGGUUUGAAUAACUUAGUCAUUCAAGAAGAAUGACCUAGUUUAUUCGGGAAGUCAAAACAUGCAAAGUGAAACACAAUAAUAAUUGAAUCCAAUAUGGUAUCAACCCUUUGAACAUAAAUAAAACACCUUUUAUUUAUCACCAUAUGAUUACACAUUAUUCAUUGUAUACUGUUUCAGCUAUCAACUUUAUUCUUGAAUUUAAAACAAUAGUUGUCCCAUGCUCCAAGCAUGUACACUAUGUUUUCAAAACACUAGUCAUGCCAUACACCAAGUAUGCACACUAUGUUUGUCUAUGAUCUUUACAUUGUGAAAUAAACCAAUUGAACCAUGAUUCUAAUUUCACACUCCCAAAUCCUUAUCAUUUAUCAAAAUCUGUUAGAUUUUAAACUUAUAUGAAUUGGUCCUCUUGUAACGAUUAUGCACAAAGUUACAAAGAUUUGUCAACAAGCAUUAUAGAGUAUUCCAAUGGAGAUCAACUCCAUGGAACCGAACUCUCAUAUUCAAAGUUCAUUGCCUUUGAACAUUCUUAUUGCAUUAAGUUUCCUAAUCUUACACAGAUAACUUCCACCUAUGGAGGCAACUCCAUAUUCCCAUUUUGACUACCCCUUCUGAACAAGAAUUGCCUCUUUUCAGAUUAGGUCAAUAUGGUCCUUCCAAUGUUAACACUAUACUUCCAACUGUCCUUGAGCAACCAAUCCUCGGUAAAACCUUAGAUUGUCCUUGACAAUUGCUUAAUCAUUUUAGUCAUAUCCAGUUCUAGACCUUUUCCCUUCUUAAUGCCCUAGGCAUUUGGAAAAUUUUAGAAAGGAUGAAUAUAGCACAUGUAAUCGAUCCUAUAUCUGAAGCAUAUGGGACACGAUUCAUGAUGUCUCACAUAAAGACUAAACUAGUCUUUUGCUAUAAUAUUUCCAUUUCAAUUUGCCAAGUUCUCAUAAUUCAGAUUAUGAAAAAGGAUGUCGUAAUCAUAAUCGAAUUUUAGAACGCAAAUAAUGGACCCAUAUAUAGAGUUUUCUUAUGUUGAGCCAUUCCAACAUAACAUUCAUAUAUAUAUACUUGACUAGCUUUGAUUAAAAUCUCACGAUCUAAGCUUAUAGAUUUGAGAUGAAGUAUAAUUUCCUCUCCCUUAAUUAUAGCAAAACUACUUUUUCCCAAUUGAAACCUUUUGUUUUCUAUAAUUAACAUUGCUAACUUGCAACCUUUAUCAUAAUUAUGAUGCUCC